Long non-coding RNA from Dermochelys coriacea (leatherback sea turtle), 920 nucleotides. RefSeq lists it as uncharacterized. Lineage: Eukaryota; Metazoa; Chordata; Testudines; Dermochelyidae. The record is from RefSeq and is a predicted model, not a curated record. The transcript is spliced from 3 exons.
CCUUGCAAUAACGAACAAGGAUGAGCAUGUGCAAUGGGUAGGGGAUAGGGUGAGAGCAUGGCAAGUUUCCAAGUGGCUAUUCCCCCUCCACCCCCGACAUGUACAAACAAGGAGAUAACGAAAGUGAAGAGCUGAAAAAGCCCUUACCCCAUAUACAGUAUUUAUGUACAGUACUGCGUUUGUAAUCAGGACGGGGGCUGAAGCAGCAAUGAGAGAAGUAUUUCUAUUCUUGACGCAAAAAAAGGCAAGGAAGAAGUGCUCCAGGAGAGGAGAUAUAAGAAAGGAUUUGCUCAUCGAUUUUCUUAAAUGGAAAAGUUGUAAAGGAUAUGGGUGCAUGAAGAGAGGAAAAGGGAUAACCUUUCUUCUAAAAACAUCAAAUUGCCAAGACACAGCCUCCAUCCAUUGCUCAUGUUAAAAAAGACUUUUUAAAAAAGGAAAAACUUGCCAAAGGCCAAUAGAUCCUCACUUCUCUCCAUUCCCAAGGCAUAUUCUUCUUUCUAUUCCAUAUGUAUAUGCUUAUGUCUACCUCAGAUUUGUACUGAGUGAGGCAACCAGAAAUGUUAAAAAUGCUGGCAAUCGAAAUUUUCCACCAUCGCGAUUGUUCCGGGUCCACUAAAACUAUUUCCAGUAGCAAUGUUUCGUUUUACGAGAGAGAACCAGCAAAAUAGCAGGGAGCUACACUUGCGUAUCAAGAUCUGCGGAAGGAAAGAGUUGAAAAGAUGACAAUGAAAAAGCGCCGGGAGACAAAAACAAAUCAGAAGCCUCAGGUGGUCUAACUUGUACCUCUGAAACCGAAGUGCCACUGCGCGUGUACACAAGAGUCGCUAAAUGGAGAGGAUAUUUCGAUUGACUGUUUUUGCACAAUCCAACCAGUAAUGCAUUGAUUUAUAAUUGCUUACCUUUUCAUAGCAUAUCCCUAA